RNAcentral lists this long non-coding RNA (838 nucleotides) under Zea mays. RNAcentral's name for it is "long non-coding RNA NONZMAT001509". The record is from RNAcentral. Lineage: Eukaryota; Viridiplantae; Streptophyta; Magnoliopsida; Poales; Poaceae.
UAGAAAUUGAUUGGUGUAAAUUGAACUCUGCCAUUAUCUAAGGGGGAAUGCAAACUGAAGGAUAAAUAUUAAAUAGUAACUCCAACUAACAAAUGACCUAAAAAUCAAAUUGUAUAAUAUGAGCUUUUCACUAAUUCAAACAAUUGUGUAAGUAUAUCAGCAAGUUUUAAUGCACCAAAAAAUACCACAACUGACAAAGGACAACAAAUAAAGGUGCACAAAAAAAUCAACACUCACAACCUACUUGAACAGGUAGAUGUUUUGGUACAGUUUGAAGCACGCUCAAGAUAAACGAGCAAAUCUCAAAUCAUUUUUGAGAUUUAAACUGACUAAUCAAUUAGAGUAGCUGAAGACGUCUCAGAUAGACAUGCUUCUAUAUCAAAACAAGAUAUUUCAAGCUGAAUGUCACGGUUUAUGCAUCCAAACUUUCAUAUUAUAACUAUACACAAUUAUAUGUCCAUUCAAGCAAUCACAAUAUACAAACAAAGUUAAAAUUUUUUUUGCAGUUUACCUAGGCCUGAAAUACACAUGCAGGUGCAUGGCACCAAAGCAAACUGUUAAUAAAUCAAGUUAUUUGUGAUUACACGAGUCAAAUGGAAAAAACAUGCUUUGUUAGCUUAGCUCUUCAUUCAAGCUAACAAUGAAUAAGCAUGCACAGAUAAAUAUUUUGCAAUAAGAGGAGAUAGAAAGAUAGCUAAUAUUUUAUUGUGCUUAAUUGUGGCAAUAAGCAUGUAGGCUUUAUAAAGUUUGCAUCAGUUCUCAAAAGAUAAAACUCACGAGCAAGUUGACUCUGUAUGGAGAAUCAUCAGUGGGAAGUAAUUAAUACAUAAACCUCCAU